Astatotilapia calliptera (eastern happy) is the source of this 1142-nucleotide long non-coding RNA. NCBI's taxonomy places the organism in Eukaryota, Metazoa, Chordata, Actinopteri, Cichliformes, Cichlidae. The record is from Ensembl.
UAAAAUUCUAAAAGAUAAUUUAUUGACGAAAAAUAUAUCAAGAGAUAAAAGAUAAAACAGUCCAGUGUCCCACUUAUGAAUUGUAUAAAAACACACAGUCCCAAGGCCAGAGCCAGCUAUGCCACACGGCCAAGUUGCACUCCACAUGUUGCCUUUAACAGGGUUAGAAGUUGUCCUUGGAGACCCACCACUAGUGAUGUGACGUUCUGUAUCGAGGCUUCGGAGCGUGUGUCGAGUAAUGGAGGGGGCGUUUCCGCGAAGCGCGUAUCGAGGCUUGCUUCAUUUAUGGGAGGAGCUGAAAAUGAUGACGUCCGAAGCCUCGCUGCCCGGCUGUACCACGUGACUGGUUCAUGAAGUGGUUCGAACUUUGCCGCGAGAUAUGACAGCGAUAUAAACCCUCAGACUUCAUUCAAAAUGUGGGUGUUUGAUGGAGAGUUGCGGUUAGUGAGAGUCUGGAGACAGUUUGGAGGUUUAUGAGAGUGAGGAGAGAAAGUCAGGAGAGAAUGGAGCCAGCUAAGAAGAGGAGGAUGUCCUCCCCUGUGUGGGAACAUUUUGAUUUUAUUCCUCCCAACAAGGUAUGUAAAUUUCUACAGAAGAUGUAUUGUCAUGAUACUGAUGGUGCAAUACAAUUUAUGUUGAGCUGUCUUGACUUUUGUACAAGGUGAAGUGUUUGCUAUGUGCCAGGGAGCUGGGAUAUAACAGCAACACCUCAUCCAUGCUUAGGCACUACAGAGCUUUGCAUGAGAAUAAGGGGAACACCGAUUGUGGAGCAAGACCAGGAGAACAAUCUCAAAUAGAUGAAGACCUGGUUAGCAUGGUGAUUGAGGACUCACAGCCAUUUAGCAUUGUGGAGGACAAAGGAUUCAAAAGAUUUGUUAAAUCAUUAAAUCCUAGCUAUGUUCUCCCCACUAAAAGGUCAUAAAAGCAGUGAAAAUUUAGUUUUUACAGAAUAAAAUGUGAACAGGCAGGACUGAGGCUCAAAGCCUCAGUGUGUAGCUGUCCAUACCUCAACGUUACAAAAGCACAACUACUGUCCACACCCCAACCACACCUCACCUCACAGUAAAUGAUCAUUUCCAUUUCAAGCAUUUCCAAAUAAUCAUUUCCCAUACUGCCAGUAUAAAUAUACACAGUAUACUGCC